RNAcentral lists this ribosomal RNA (284 nucleotides) under uncultured bacterium. RNAcentral's name for it is "partial 16S ribosomal RNA". It matches the Rfam family "Bacterial small subunit ribosomal RNA", at positions 524 to 804 of the family's 1533-position model. The record is from RNAcentral.
UACGUAGGGUGCAAGCGUUAAUCGGAAUUACUGGGCGUAAAGCGUGCGCAGGCGGUUUUGUAAGUCUGUCGUGAAAUCCCCGGGCUCAACCUGGGAAUUGCGAUGGAGACUGCAAGGCUAGAAUCUGGCAGAGGGGGGUAGAAUUCCACGUGUGAGCAGUGAAAUGCGUAGAGAUGUGGAGGAACACCGAUGGCGAAGGCAGCCCCCUGGGUCAAGAUUGACGCUCAUGCACGAAGCGUGGGGAGCCAAACGAAGGAUACGAAACCCGGGUAGUCAGAACCGAA